GGGGGAUUUGGGGAAAUUGCUGCGGAUGGGAAGGGUGGGAUGGAGGCGUCGCCCCUGAGGGUUCCCACAGGGGCCAGGAAGGAGAGCCCACCGGUAGCGCCGUGAUUGCACGGGAUGGUGUCACAGCAUAAUUUCUGUCCGUGUUGUCCCGAUGCUUUAUCCCGAUGCUGGUGAACAUCUAAGGUGCGAGAAGACGGCGCUAAAACCUGGGCUUUUGGCACUAGAAUUGCCAGUCGGUUUCCAUGCUUGGGCAAAUUACAGCUGCUCAUAGGCUCGCAUAAAGAACCCUUAUUUUAGUUUCUACAAAACUUCUGACUCUUGAACUGGUUAACCAACUGAAAAAGGAGAUCAAUAAAUUUGCUCAGCAGUCGAAGGUGCUGAGUACCAACAUCCUGCCAGACAGUGAAAAGGAAGUGCUAACAGUAUAAAUAUAGGGAAGAAGGUAGCCUGGACAUGAGUAAUCCUGUACCUCAUUCUGCACAUUCUGUGGGGCACAGCUGCUGCUCUUAGAAGAGGCAUAUUCAGCAGCAAAUAUUGAAGAAAACAGUGUUCUUCCACAAAAAUCAUGAAAAUGUUUACCUUUAUUCUGAUCCUUUGGCCUGUGAAGAGACCCACUGAUCCAACAGGAAAAAAGAAGGGGAUAUAACACGGAAUGAGCUUCUCCUGGAAAUGAGGGUCCCGUCUCCAUCAGAUCCCUUCUUCUCAUGCUCAUGGAAGGUCCUUCCUGAUCAAGCAGCAUCACUGCAGAAUCUGGCAUUUUUAACCCAACUCGCUACUUUGUGCUGAAACUAACUUCCCUGCACGAAAAUCAAGAAGAAAAGUCAGGUCGACACGAAGACAACAAUAAAAAAUUGAACAAUUACAGAGAGCACAACUCCAGAAUCAGAAGCUGCUUAGGCUCCCUCUGUUUCUAAAGAAGAUUAUGAGGAGGAGGAAGACAACCAAGCUCCACCUGUUUUUGGACCAGAACCUGAGCAUCCAGAAUCAGAAGGAUUGUGAGUGUGGGGGAUCCUGUGACAAAAUACAUUGGACUGGAAAAAAUUGCCAAAGGUUAAGUCCAACCACAGUUCCUUCUCCAGAACCACAGGCCAGGUAUUUUGCUGGUGUAAGAUCAAGUGUGAAGCAAGCUCCAAAUGUGUCCAGAUAGGACAGGGGUUUAGAUCCUUCUGUCUCUGAGUACUGAUCAGAAUUUAUAACAGUGAUCAGAAAGUGUCAUCUAAGAACUUCAUACAGUAAGUGUUUUGCCUUGAGCAAGGAGCAAGACCUGGAAGAUCUCCUGUCCCUCUAAUUCUUGGCACCUCUUUACUAUUUUCUUAUGAAAAAUCUUUUUCUUUUUUUUUUUUUCUUUUUUUCCUUGAAAUAAUAGGGCCCUAGAUAGAUUCAAAUAAGAGAUCUGAGAACGGAGCAAUAAGAGUUCUUGAGGACUCAGCAAGGCAACAUGGAAAAAGAAUGAAAGAUACUACUUUCCAGAUUUUGUAGACAUGCUCCAUGCCCCACCCCAGGCCCCUCAUAGGUUUGGAACUAAAAUAAAUCCAGUGUGGGCAUCUGAGAUUUGUACUAGACCUUCAUGUUGAACCGAAAUAUUCUUUUGGACACACAGCAUGGCAGAGGGCCGGUGGGGUGCUCUUGGCUGAAGAGUAGGUGAUGCCAGGUGUUUUUUAAACACUCCAGGCAGCAGAGACCUCCUGUCUGGGCUGGUAUUCACUUGUAGGAACUCAAUGGCUUCUCCUUUCUUUGCUGCUGUUUUGUUUCCAGGGGUUUCAGAAUGGUCUAUACAGCGACCAAUACUGCCGGAGGAGGCUACAGGAGGAGAGGUAAGUGUUAAUAAUCCCAGAUUUUACAGCUGUUGAGUGUCUUUCCCUCUGGUGUAAGCUGUGGCUGGAGCUUUGAGUUUCCAGGAGAUCUUUCCUGUAAAGCCUGUUCCUACAAAUCAUAGGCUAGCAUCACCCUGCUCAAUCCAUUUUGGACAGCUCUUUGGGGCUACAGCUUAAGAUUUCUGAAAGCUCCUAUCUCUCUGACAGCAAAUACAUCUGAUUCUUCCUGGUAGCUUCCAAUCCCCUUAGAGUACCAUGCUUUGUAACUGUGAUUAGAUAGAAGUCUACCAGGGACUCAGGGCAUAUCCAUAAAAUGCCAUGGAGUGGAUUAUUUCUUUUUAAAGCCAGGAAACAGCUGCAAAUCUAAACUGUUCAAGACUGUUCUCUAGAGUUGCAAAAUCAAAAUUCAACAAGUUAGGAAGCGGUAGGAUUCUGGUUUUUGACGGAUAACCUUAAUGAUCCUUUUAAGAUGGCAUUUUAUCCAUUAUGUCUGUCUCUAUUUGCUUUGUUUUGCCAUCAAGAAGAGCAACAGUUGCAUUUGAAAAAAUGAUCAAACUCCAUAGAAUUCCUAAAGGAUUCCCAGAUAUUUUGUGAUAUUUUCACAGGAACAGAACUACUUCGUGCUUGCAAACCAUGUGUGAAUGGUAAUAGUAGUGAUAAACUAAGGCCAUUGGAAAAGAAUUUAGGUGCAGGAUGUUGUUAGAGCUCUAGGCUUGAUAGCCUAAGAGACCAGUUUUACCAAGCUGACAAGGCAAAAUGUGUCUUGGCCAUGUGUCCUACCUAGCUAGCACCUGAGCUGACAGAGACAUGGGCUGUAAUGUCAGUGACUAAGUUCUGAUGUGUAAUCACAAUGCAGUUUGGCAUAGCUGGUGGGCUCUGUUACUCCAGAAGUGCUCACUCCAUGUUCAUUCUGAUCUCAUCUCAGAUACACUCACUCCAUGCUCAUUCUGAUCUCAUCUCAGAAACACUCACUCCAUGCUCAUUCUGAUCUCAUGCAGCAGACUUCUCAGGUUAAUGGUCUUCAAUGUCAGUUUAGGUGGCCGUAAAGCAAGUGAGUCUCCUCCAAAAGGAAUUAAUUGCCAAUGAACUCCUAGUUGUAAGGAACAAUAAGCACCCCAAUAUUGUUAUCUAUUUAGACAGGUAAGUAGUUCUGGUAUUAUUGAAUGAAUGUUCAUUUAUUUUUGCAAGACAAAGGUUAAAAAUAACCUCUUCAGAUACUGCUGAAGAACUGAGCUUUUUACUUUUAUUUAUCUAUUUGUAUACAAUAUAUGGGAGGAGAAUGAACUUUGUUUGCAUUAAUCUUUUCUGGCAUGCAUCAUUGGAUCAGCCCUAUCUGACUAAAACAACAAUCCCUAAGUUUGUGGUUUUGUUGGUUUGGGGUUUGUUCAGGUUUUUCUUCUUUUUAAGGUGAACAUAUU
Non-coding RNA from Cyanistes caeruleus (blue tit), 3232 nucleotides. NCBI's taxonomy places the organism in Eukaryota, Metazoa, Chordata, Aves, Passeriformes, Paridae. The record is from RefSeq and is a predicted model, not a curated record.